ACACCUAUGAUGAACUGUGAUUACCUUUGGUGGCCUCUUUGUCAUGCUCUUCUGUCUCGUCGGCUGAGGAGGCUUCUGCAUCUGAGGACUCGCGUGCCUCGUCGCUUCCCGGUGCCGCGUGAGGCUGCAGGUCUGCUUUUCCCGAGGACACGGGCUCCUCGGUGUUCCUCCCCUCCUGCGCCGUGGCUGGAGCAGAAGUCGAGGUGACAAAUAUGUGGGAUAGCAAUGGCGACGACAGAGGCGGACCACACAGAGGCCAUGAAGGGAAACUGAGCAACUCCACGGUCAACGGGAGAGGAUCUGACUUACCGGUUGGAGAAUCACGCGAUGAUGGGCUUGCCUGAAGAGGGAAUCCUCGGUACAAGGCGUCAGCAGGAGCAGGCCUGCAUGCCUGCAUGGACAAAAAGGACAUAAACUGGACUUCAGUGGGAGAUUAUAUGACAUUUGACAAAGAAAAAGAAAAAGUACAAAGGUAAAGAAAGAGACGGAAAUGUAAGUGUAAUGGAAGGGUUUCAAUUUAAUUGGAAAAAAGGAACCCAAAAUGUACAAACUGGCUAUUGUGUCAAGCAAUCCUCGUGUUUGUUGUGGAUUUUCUAUUGAUUGGUUGAACAAAAAUCAGAUUCAGAGCUUUAGAAAUGUAAUGUCUAGUUACAUUCCAGUCCUCCAUUUUGUGCGCAUGCUAAACUAAUACUUUACUAAUCUGAAUAAAGAAAAAAAGAUGGUGAAUAGCC
Molecule: long non-coding RNA, 731 nt
Organism: Notothenia coriiceps (black rockcod)
Lineage: Eukaryota; Metazoa; Chordata; Actinopteri; Perciformes; Nototheniidae
Exons: 2
Source: RefSeq, a predicted model, not a curated record